UGAAAUGUUGACCUCGGA
RNAcentral lists this ribosomal RNA (18 nucleotides) under Trichoderma hamatum. RNAcentral describes it as "partial 28S ribosomal RNA". The record is from RNAcentral. Lineage: Eukaryota; Fungi; Ascomycota; Sordariomycetes; Hypocreales; Hypocreaceae.